This 1246-nucleotide ribosomal RNA is filed under the name Salmonella enterica. RNAcentral describes it as "partial 23S ribosomal RNA". It matches the Rfam family "Bacterial large subunit ribosomal RNA", at positions 1705 to 2925 of the family's 2925-position model. Lineage: Bacteria; Pseudomonadati; Pseudomonadota; Gammaproteobacteria; Enterobacterales; Enterobacteriaceae. The record is from RNAcentral.
UGAAGGAACUAGGCAAAAUGGUGCCGUAACUUCGGGAGAAGGCACGCUGACACGUAGGUGAAGUGAUUUACUCAUGGAGCUGAAGUCAGUCGAAGAUACCAGCUGGCUGCAACUGUUUAUUAAAAACACAGCACUGUGCAAACACGAAAGUGGACGUAUACGGUGUGACGCCUGCCCGGUGCCGGAAGGUUAAUUGAUGGGGUCAGCGCAAGCGAAGCUCCUGAUCGAAGCCCCGGUAAACGGCGGCCGUAACUAUAACGGUCCUAAGGUAGCGAAAUUCCUUGUCGGGUAAGUUCCGACCUGCACGAAUGGCGUAAUGAUGGCCAGGCUGUCUCCACCCGAGACUCAGUGAAAUUGAACUCGCUGUGAAGAUGCAGUGUACCCGCGGCAAGACGGAAAGACCCCGUGAACCUUUACUAUAGCUUGACACUGAACAUUGAGCCUUGAUGUGUAGGAUAGGUGGGAGGCUUUGAAGUGUGGACGCCAGUCUGCAUGGAGCCGACCUUGAAAUACCACCCUUUAAUGUUUGAUGUUCUAACGUGGACCCGUGAUCCGGGUUGCGGACAGUGUCUGGUGGGUAGUUUGACUGGGGCGGUCUCCUCCUAAAGAGUAACGGAGGAGCACGAAGGUUGGCUAAUCCUGGUCGGACAUCAGGAGGUUAGUGCAAUGGCAUAAGCCAGCUUGACUGCGAGCGUGACGGCGCGAGCAGGUGCGAAAGCAGGUCAUAGUGAUCCGGUGGUUCUGAAUGGAAGGGCCAUCGCUCAACGGAUAAAAGGUACUCCGGGGAUAACAGGCUGAUACCGCCCAAGAGUUCAUAUCGACGGCGGUGUUUGGCACCUCGAUGUCGGCUCAUCACAUCCUGGGGCUGAAGUAGGUCCCAAGGGUAUGGCUGUUCGCCAUUUAAAGUGGUACGCGAGCUGGGUUUAGAACGUCGUGAGACAGUUCGGUCCCUAUCUGCCGUGGGCGCUGGAGAACUGAGGGGGGCUGCUCCUAGUACGAGAGGACCGGAGUGGACGCAUCACUGGUGUUCGGGUUGUCAUGCCAAUGGCACUGCCCGGUAGCUAAAUGCGGAAGAGAUAAGUGCUGAAAGCAUCUAAGCACGAAACUUGCCCCGAGAUGAGUUCUCCCUGAGACUUUAGGUCUCCUGAAGGAACGUUGAAGACGACGACGUUGAUAGGCCGGGUGUGUAAGCGCAGCGAUGCGUUGAGCUAACCGGUACUAAUGAACCGUGAGGCUUAACCUUACA